ACAGGGAACAGAUCAGAAAGCAGCAGAAGGGACCAAAUGCAGAAUGUCUGCCCAACUCCAGCCUCUGUCUGUACCAUGUGUGAAUAGGCUACUGGUGGAGACUUAGGCAGAUGUUUCCAGCAGGAGUCAUGCAGCACGUUUGUGGGGUCAGAAACGUGCAUCAAAAUCCCUGGCAUCUACCAUGCAUGGCAGAAAUGAGUGAUCUGCCUAGUAGGUCACAUCCGCAUUUCCACGUGGGAGGGCCUACAGAUAUCCAGGUUGCCAUUUGGAACCAGUGAUAUGUGAAAGCUGGACAAUGAAGAAGACUGCCAGGAGAAAAAUGGAUUCAAUUGAAAUAUGGUGUUGGAAGAGACCCCUACGGAUACCCUGGACUUCCAGAAAGAUGGACAGGUGGGUCCUGGAGUAAAGUAAGCCUGAACUAUCACUGGAGACAAAAAGGAUAAAAGUGAGCCUGUCCUACUUUGGGCACAUCGUGAGAAGGCGGGAUUCUUUGGAAAACACAAUAAUGCUGGAAAAGUAGAAGGCAGCACGAAAAGAGGAAGACCAAAUCUGAGAUGGAUUGACUCUAUAAAGGAAGCCAUAGCCCUGCGUCUACAGGAGCUGAGCAGGGCUGUUGAGGACAGGACAUUGUGGACGUCACUCACUCAUAGGGUUGCCAGGAGUUGGAGCCUACUUGAUGGCACGUAACAACGAUAUCAAUGUUUAUUGGAAAAUAAUACAGUAUCAAUGUCAGUUGUCUUAUUUUGAUAAUUGUCCUGUGGGUAUGUAUAAGAAUAUCCUUAAUUUAGAAAACACGCAUUGAAGUAUUAUGGAGUAAAGAGCACGAUGUCUGCAACUUACUCUCAAACAGUUCAGAAAAUGUGUGUGUGUGUGUGUAUG
RNAcentral lists this long non-coding RNA (879 nucleotides) under Equus caballus (horse). RNAcentral's name for it is "lncRNA (ENSECAG00000037976.3)". The record is from RNAcentral. Lineage: Eukaryota; Metazoa; Chordata; Mammalia; Perissodactyla; Equidae.